UAUUCUAUUACGUCAUCAACGCAAAAAUGGUUGUCAAUUCUUAGUACAUAUGCAGUACGUUCUUUUAUCUUUAUGCAACUUGCUAUAUGAAGAUUUUACACUGCUGUUUUUUAAGCCUUGGAAGCUAUUGUUUUUGUGAUUUAACACUUCCAUCCCAAGUGACUAGUUAAAACCGUGAAGCAUUGAAGAGUGAUUCUAUUACCGUCAAGGAGACGCCAUUUUGUGAUUUAGUGCCAUUGUUAUUCGCAUCAAUGUGCAUGAUAAAAAUUUCUUACGUAUUCUAAUUUAAAUUGAAAUAAUAUUUCCAUUGUACCGUGUUUUUCUAACGAUAGAAUUAAAAGUGUUGUCAGUGACAAAUUUUUAAGAUGCAAAAUUGACUACCGUAGUCAAUGUCACGAGUUUACAGUAUCUGCUGAUGCGUCAGCAUUUACUUUAUGACAUCGAUUGGAUUUUAUACGUUAACUGAACUGUUUAUAUGAAUGUGUUAUUGCUCAUCUUUACAAAACAUGAUUAUUUUAACUUCCUACAUCAUAUUUUGGUCAAAAUGUUAUAAUAUAAGAAAAGUCAAUUAUUUAUGACUCGCCAUGUUUGAUGUGUAACGGAACUUGCUGUGAGAUGAUGACACACACACGUCAUGCCAGAAUUUCAUUCUAUUCGCGCGCAAUGUUCGCCACGUGUAGUUACAGAAUCGUGGAAUUGGACCAAGGCUUGCGCGGUGAUUAAUAAAUUUUGAACUUCUAUUUCAAAUAAGAAAAUUAAUAACUGUUUAUAUUCCAAAAUGUUAUGUCGUGACUUCUGAAAUUAUCUGUUAUUAAUAAUUAUAUUUAUAGAUCAUUAUUUUUGUGACGUAAAAAUGCAUUAUGGGUGGACAUGGAACGAUGGAAAUUAACCAUUAAUUUUUGUGUUGGUUAAGAAAGUGUAUUCUCAUUUUAUGAAUGAGAAAGUGCAAUUAUUGUAUAUCUCAAUGCCUGUAUCCUUAAUGUACCUACUUAUUAUCUUUAACAAUAAAGAAUCAAAAAUAUCUGUGAAUAAAA
Megalopta genalis is the source of this 1034-nucleotide non-coding RNA. Lineage: Eukaryota; Metazoa; Arthropoda; Insecta; Hymenoptera; Halictidae. The record is from RefSeq and is a predicted model, not a curated record.